This 460-nucleotide ribosomal RNA is filed under the name uncultured bacterium. RNAcentral describes it as "partial 16S ribosomal RNA". It matches the Rfam family "Bacterial small subunit ribosomal RNA", at positions 338 to 795 of the family's 1533-position model. The record is from RNAcentral.
CCUACGGGAGGCAGCAGUGAGGAAUAUUGGUCAAUGGGCGCGAGCCUGAACCAGCCAAGUAGCGUGAAUGAUGACUGCCCUACGGGUGGUAAACUUCUUUUAUAAAGGAAUAAAGUGAGGCACGUAUGCCUUUUUUUCUGUACUUUAUGAAUAAGGAUCGGCUAACUCCGUGCCAGCAGCCGCGGUAAUACGGAGGAUCCGAGCGUUAUCCGGAUUUAGUGGGUUUAGAGGAAACGUAGAUGGGUUGUUAAGUCAGUUGUGAAAGUUUGCGGCUCAACCGUAAAAUUGCAAUGGAUACUGGCAGCCUUGAGUACAGUUGAGGGAGGCGGAAUUCGUGGUGUAGCGGUGAAAUGCUUAGAUAUCACGAAGAACUCCGAUUGCGAAGGCAGCCUACUAAACUGCCACUGACAUUGAUGCUCGAAAGUGUGGGUAUCAAACAGGAUUAGAUACCCCAGUAGUC